AGUGGUACCAGAGUACCACGAGGCACGUGAAACCUCGUGGGAAGCUGGGGGGACCACCCCCCAAGGCUAAAUACUACCUAGUGACCGAUAGAGAAUAGUACCGUGAGGGAAAGGUGAAAAGAACCCCGGGAGGGGAGUGAAAUAGAACCUGAAACCUUAUGCUUACAAGCAAUGGGAGCGCAAGUGACCAUGUACUUUUUGUAGAACGGGCCAACGAGUUAUGGUGUGUAGCAAGGUUAAGAUGUUCAGCAUCGGAGCCGAAGCGAAAGCGAGUCUUAAUAGGGCGAGUUAGUUGCACGCUGUAGACCCGAAACCGGGUGACCUAUCCAUGUGCAGGUUGAAGCGAGAGUAAAAUCUCGUGGAGGACCGAACCCAUAUCUGUGAAAAAGGUUGGGAUGACGUGUGGAUAGAGGUGAAAUUCCAAUCGAACCCGGAUAUAGCUGGUUCUCCUCGAAAUAGCUUUAGGGCUAGCCUCAAUUUAGAUACGCGGAGGUAGAGCACUGAAUGUUCUAGGGGCCUUCACCGGUUACCGAAAACUAUCAAACUCCGAAUGCCGCAGUAUUGAUGAUUGGGAGUCAGACUAUGUGAGAUAAGUUUCAUAGUCGAAAGGGAAACAGCCCAGACCAACAGCUAAGGUCCCAAAGUGUAAGUUAAGUGGAAAAGGAUGUGGAGCUGCAUAGACAACUAGGAUGUUGGCUUAGAAGCAGCCACUCAUUUAAAGAGUGCGUAAUAGCUCACUAGUCGAGUGGCUCUGCGCCGAAGAUAAACGGGGCUAAAACUUACCACCGAAGCUAUGGAUACGAGAGUAAUCUUGUAUGGUAGAGGAGCAUCGUAUAAGGGUUGAAGCAGUAUUGUAAAGUAUUGUGGACAUUAUACGAGAGAGAAUGUUGGCAUGAGUAACGAAUGGCAGGUGAGAAUCCUGCCCACCGAAAACCUAAGGUUUCCUGAGGAAGGCUCGUCCGCUCAGGGUAAGUCGGGACCUAAGCCGAGGACGAAGGUCGUAGGCGAUGGACAACUGGUUGAGAUUCCAGUACCACCGAAAAUCGUUUGAGUGAAGUGGGGACACAGAAGGAUAAGUUGAGCGCACGAAUGGAAGAGUGCGUCUAAGCGGCAAGUGAGAUAUCUUAGGCAAAUCCGGGAUAUCAUAUUGUGAGCCGUGAUGGGGAGGGAAAAUAAGUACCGAAGCAACUGAUUUCACACUGUCAAGAAAAGCCGCUAGCGAGAUUGUAGGUGCCCGUACCGUAAACCGACACAGGUAGGUAAGGAGAGAAUCCUAAGGUGAGCGAGAGAACUAUUGUUAAGGAACUCGGCAAAAUAACCCCGUAACUUCGGGAGAAGGGGUGCCUGCGCAAGCAGGCCGCAGUGAAAAGGCCCAGGCGACUGUUUAACAAAAACACAGGUCUCUGCUAAGUCGAAAGACGAUGUAUAGGGGCUGACGCCUGCCCGGUGCUGGAAGGUUAAGGGGAAAUGUUAGCGCAAGCGAAGCAUAGAACUUAAGCCCCAGUAAACGGCGGCCGUAACUAUAACGGUCCUAAGGUAGCGAAAUUCCUUGUCGGGUAAGUUCCGACCUGCACGAAUGGCGUAACGA
Molecule: ribosomal RNA, 1588 nt
Filed under: Ephemera danica
Lineage: Eukaryota; Metazoa; Arthropoda; Insecta; Ephemeroptera; Ephemeridae
Description: bacterial LSU rRNA
Rfam family: Bacterial large subunit ribosomal RNA
Source: RNAcentral